Molecule: transfer RNA, 96 nt
Filed under: [Desulfovibrio] dechloracetivorans
Lineage: Bacteria; Pseudomonadati; Thermodesulfobacteriota; Desulfovibrionia; Desulfovibrionales; Desulfovibrionaceae
Description: Desulfovibrio dechloracetivorans tRNA-Arg
Source: RNAcentral
CGGCCUGUUGGAGCAGGGCGAGGAGUUCGAACCGUUCCUCCCGGCUGCGGUCGGCGCGGGAGAGCAGUCCUUCCCGUUCGCCUUGGGGGCGGCUGG